Molecule: long non-coding RNA, 1729 nt
Organism: Marmota monax (woodchuck)
Lineage: Eukaryota; Metazoa; Chordata; Mammalia; Rodentia; Sciuridae
Exons: 3
Source: RefSeq, a predicted model, not a curated record
ACCCAGAACACAGGCAGAUAGCCAUGCGCUUGAGAGGGUGGGGAGUCUCCCAAUUGCAAGGCCUGGAAAACCUGCAGCUGCCUCUGGCCGCUAUGGGGAGGAGUGAGUCAGGGUCCUCUUUAACAUCCCAGCCCACGAGCUGCAUGCCCAGCACCAAGCCCCAGUGGCCACUGUGCCUCCGCCUCUUCCUGAGCUAUUUUAAUCCCACCUUCACCAAUCAAGAAACUCGCUGUGUCAUUCUGCAACUGAGUGAGAACCAGGGUUCAAAUCGAGUCUGUCUGUACCUCCGUCGGCCAGUCGGAGGAGGAAACAGAGUUCUCAUUCUUCUUCUGGGAUCACAAUCAACAGAGGCAGAGACAGGAAGACCCAGAGGCUGAAGAUGGAAUCAUGGGAACUGCUGUAGCCUCACCCACUCGAAACGAAACUUCUGACCCUGAGUCACAGCAAUGAGCAAAGACCAGAGAGCAAAGGACCUGGGCCAGUUAGUUUAACACUGAAUAUAAGCCUAACUCUUGGGUUGCACUGUGAGCACAGGAAUCCUAGUCUGGGGAGAUCUCCAUAAAUAUUAGAGUUACUAAUUACUGAUAAUUUGCAAAAAAUAAAUAAAUAAAUAAAGCAAAGAAAAUGGGGAAAAAAAUGAAUGUGACUUGGACUGAGAUGGCCUUUAAUCACUAUUGUUUUUUCCAUUAUACAAAGCUAGGAAGUUGAAGCGUUAAGACUUCAAAUACAAAACCUCUUUUGGAAGAAAGAGCUAAGCAUUAAAUUACGCGUAAAGAUUCAAAAUCAAUUGUUCAUUUUAGGGCUACCCAGUCAAUAAUAACAUACUUCAAAGUUCACUGGGGAUAUCUCAACUACGUAAUUAAAAAAUGCCAUAAAGCACCUGGAAGGAAAUAUGCCCAAAUGUUAAUUUUACCUCCAAUUAGGAGGAUUAUGGAUGAUUCUUUCCUUAUACUUUCCAAAUAUUCUACAGUGUGAAAGCAAUUCUUUGACACUGAAAAAGAAAUUUAUAAAAAUGAAAAAUAAGAAUCAUAAUAAUCCACAGGGCACGGUGGCACAUGCCUGUAAUCCCAGCAGCUCGGGUCACUGAGGCAGGAGGAUCAUGAGUUCAAAGCCAGCCUCAGCAAAAACCAGUAACCAAGCAACUCAGUGAGACCUGUCUUGAAAUAAAAUACAAAAAUAGGGCUGGGGAUGUGGCUCAGUGGCUGAGUACCCCUGAGUUUAAUCCCUGGUACCAAAGAAAAGAAAAGAAAAGGAAGGAAGGAAGGAAGGAAAGAAAGAAAGAAAGAAAAGAAUGGAAGAAUAAUCCACUAGGCAUGAUAACAUACCCCUAUAAUCCCAGCAACUCAGGAGGCUGAGGAAGGAGGAUGGAAUGUUUGAGCCAACCCUCAGCCAACUCAGCAAGACUCUGUCUCAAAAAAAAUUAAAAGGCCUGGGAUAUAGUUCAGAGUUAGAAGGCUCCUGGGUUUGAUCCCAAGUACUGCAAAAAAAAUUAAAUAAAUAUAAAUUAAAUACAUAUAUAUACAUACACACACACACACACACACACACACACAUAUAUUCCUGCUUAACUAUACAGUACUGCAUACCUGUAAUACCAAAGACUGAAGUAGGAGGAUUGCAAGUUUGAGGUCAGGCUCAGGAACUUAGAGGGGCUGGCCUGGGAAACUUAGCAAGACCCUGGCUCAAAAUAAAAAAUAAAAGGGACUGGGGAUAUAGUUCAGCAAUAGCA